GACGAACGCUGGCGGCGUGCCUAAUACAUGCAAGUGGGACGCAAGGGAACACACUGUGCUUGCACACCGUGUUUUCUUGAGUCGCGAACGGGUGAGUAACGCGUAGGUAACCUGCCUAUUAGCGGGGGAUAACUAUUGGAAACGAUAGCUAAUACCGCAUAAUAUUAAUUAUUGCAUGAUAAUUGAUUGAAAGAUGCAAGCGCAUCACUAGUAGAUGGACCUGCGUUGUAUUAGCUAGUUGGUAAGGUAAGAGCUUACCAAGGCGACGAUACAUAGCCGACCUGAGAGGGUGAUCGGCCACACUGGGACUGAGACACGGCCCAGACUCCUACGGGAGGCAGCAGUAGGGAAUCUUCGGCAAUGGACGAAAGUCUGACCGAGCAACGCCGCGUGAGUGAAGAAGGUCUUCGGAUCGUAAAGCUCUGUUGUAAGUCAAGAACGUGUGUGAGAGUGGAAAGUUCACACAGUGACGGAGCUACCAGAAAGGAC
Molecule: ribosomal RNA, 489 nt
Filed under: Streptococcus mutans
Lineage: Bacteria; Bacillati; Bacillota; Bacilli; Lactobacillales; Streptococcaceae
Description: bacterial SSU rRNA
Rfam family: Bacterial small subunit ribosomal RNA
Source: RNAcentral